Molecule: ribosomal RNA, 223 nt
Filed under: uncultured bacterium
Lineage: Bacteria
Description: partial 16S ribosomal RNA
Rfam family: Bacterial small subunit ribosomal RNA
Source: RNAcentral
UGGCGCACGGGUGAGUAACACGUGGAUAUCUGCCUUUUGGUUCGGAAUAACCCUGGGAAACUAGGGCUAAUACCGAAUGGUUCCUACGGGAUAAAGCCUUCGGGCGCUUUGGGAGCGGCCUGCGUAUGAUUAGUUUGUUGGUGAGGUAAUGGCUCACCAAGACUACGAUCAUUAGCUGGUCUGAGAGGAUGAUCAGCCAGACUGGGACUGAGACACGGCCCAG